AUUGAACGCAGGCGGCAGGCCUAACACAUGCAAGUCGAGCGGAUGAGUGGAGCUUGCUCCAUGAUUCAGCGGCGGACGGGUGAGUAAUGCCUAGGGAUCUGCCUGGUAGUGGGGGACAACGUUUCGAAAGGAACGCUAAUACCGCAUACGUCCUACGGGAGAAAGUGGGGGAUCUUCGGACCUCACGCUAACAGAUGAGCCUAGGUCGGAUGAGACAGGUGGUGAGGUAAAGGCUAACCAAGGCGACGAUCCGUAACUGGUCUGAGAGGAUGAUCAGUCACAAUGGAACUGAGACACGGUCCAGACUCCUACGGGAGGCAGCAGUGGGGAAUAUUGGACAAUGGGCGAAAGCCUGAUCCAGCCAUGCCGCGUGUGUGAAGAAGGUCUUCGGAUUGUAAAGCACUUUAAGUUGGGAGGAAGGGCAGUAAGUUAAUACCUUGCUGUUUUGACGUUACCAACAGAAUAAGCACCGGCUAACUUCGUGCCAGCCGCCGCUGUAA
Molecule: ribosomal RNA, 500 nt
Filed under: uncultured bacterium
Lineage: Bacteria
Description: partial 16S ribosomal RNA
Rfam family: Bacterial small subunit ribosomal RNA
Source: RNAcentral